RNAcentral lists this ribosomal RNA (244 nucleotides) under uncultured anaerobic ammonium-oxidizing bacterium. Its description in RNAcentral is "partial 16S ribosomal RNA". It matches the Rfam family "Bacterial small subunit ribosomal RNA", at positions 439 to 674 of the family's 1533-position model. The record is from RNAcentral.
GGAGUUAGGAAAUGCAGGAGCGUUAAUAGCGUUCUUGCUUGACUAAGGCUCCAGAGGAAGCCACGGCUAACUCUGUGCCAGCAGCCGCGGUAAUACAGAGGCGGCAAGCGUUGUUCGGAAUUAUUGGGCGUAAAGAGCACGUAGGCGGCCUUGCAAGUCAGUUGUGAAAGCCUUCCGCUCAACGGAAGAAUGCCAGCUGAUACUACAGGGCUUGAGUACGGGAGGGGAGAGUGGAACUUCUGGU